UUGUAAUAAUACAAGGCAGACGGGUUAAUAACGCGUAAUCCUCCCACCUAAGGACGGGAAUAACCUCGGGAAACUGAAAAUAACCCCCUUAAAAACAUUAUGCCUGGAAUGGUUUAUGUUCCAAAUUAUUUAUCCCCGGAAGAAGGGACCGCCGCCUAUUUUCUUGGUGGGGAAGUAAUGGCCCACCAAAAUUAUUACGGGGACGGGCUCUAAGAAGAAUCCCCCGGAAAAGGGUACUGAAACACCCCCCCCCCCCCUAUGGGGCCCAACCGGGAAAAAAAUUUUGGAAUGGGCAAAAGCACCAAGAGGUUAAUCCGAGUGGUUUCUGCAAAAAAAACCUUUUGUCCCUCCUAAAAACAAUGAAAAAUAAGGGGGGGGCAAGUUCUGGUGUCCGCCCCCGCGGAAAAACCACCCCCUCAGGGGGGCAAGAUUAUUUUUGGGCCAAAAACCUCCGUCGCCCGCUUUGGAAUUUUUCGGAUAAAUCUGGACCCUCAAACUACAAGCUGGCGGGAAUACCGCAAAACUAGGGGGGGGGAGAAGAAAACCGUUCUCCGGAAGAAGGGAAAAAAUUCUUUGAUUUAAUGAACACCACCUGGGGAGAAGGGCGUCCAACAAAACACCUCCGAAGGGGAAGGAAAAAAGGUGGGGGAAAAAAACAUAAUAAACCCCCGGGUACCCCCCGCUAAAAAAUAAGAAAACUUAAUGAAGUAUUUGGUUGGCGCCAAAGCAAUGCUGGAAAGAAACCCAUUAUUUUGCCCGCCGGGAACUACCUCCGCCAUUAAGAAACUCAAAAGAAUUGAC
This 801-nucleotide ribosomal RNA is filed under the name uncultured crenarchaeote. RNAcentral describes it as "partial 16S ribosomal RNA". It matches the Rfam family "Archaeal small subunit ribosomal RNA", at positions 62 to 869 of the family's 1478-position model. The record is from RNAcentral. Lineage: Archaea; Thermoproteati; Thermoproteota.